Long non-coding RNA from Dicentrarchus labrax (European seabass), 422 nucleotides. RefSeq lists it as uncharacterized. The transcript is spliced from 3 exons. The record is from RefSeq and is a predicted model, not a curated record. Lineage: Eukaryota; Metazoa; Chordata; Actinopteri; Moronidae.
AGGCGGCUCUGUGACGGAGGACAGUAAACACGUGGGUUUGGAUAACGAGAUAAAUUGAGCGUGAGCCUCAUUAACAGCCUCUCUUCCUGGUGUCGGUGCUGGUGGUCGGUCGGUCGUGUACCGACGGACAGACAACGGACGAACCACGCGUGUGACGCUUCAUUCCCGGAUUUGACGAGCCCGAGCUGGAUGCGUCUCGAUAAGGUAAUUUGGACACGGCAUGAACUGCUGGAUCGCCCCAGUGUGGAUUUUUUUUUUUGAAGUUUAAAAGGACUAAUGUUUAUACUGUUAAUCUGUAGAGUAACUUGAUGGAAAAUGUUAACUGUCUUUAAUGUGUAUGUACAUAAGCUCCAAAUCCUCUUGUUACAUGACCUGUAUGAACUUUAAAUUUAUUGGUAAAUAAAGUGUUGUAUAUUAAACAA